AGUGUGCAGCUGUCUUUGUGGAGAUGA
Molecule: non-coding RNA, 27 nt
Filed under: Cricetulus griseus (Chinese hamster)
Lineage: Eukaryota; Metazoa; Chordata; Mammalia; Rodentia; Cricetidae
Source: RNAcentral